RNAcentral lists this transfer RNA (70 nucleotides) under Marmota monax (woodchuck). RNAcentral's name for it is "tRNA.Ala". It matches the Rfam family "tRNA". Rfam says of the family: Transfer RNA (tRNA) molecules are approximately 80 nucleotides in length. Their secondary structure includes four short double-helical elements and three loops (D, anti-codon, and T loops). Lineage: Eukaryota; Metazoa; Chordata; Mammalia; Rodentia; Sciuridae. The record is from RNAcentral.
GGGGUUGUGGCUCAGCGGUAGAGCGCUCACCUAGCACGUGCGGGUACUGAGUUCUAUUCUCAGCACCACA